Molecule: transfer RNA, 72 nt
Filed under: Yellowstone lake phycodnavirus 3
Lineage: Varidnaviria; Bamfordvirae; Nucleocytoviricota; Megaviricetes; Algavirales; Phycodnaviridae
Rfam family: tRNA
About the family: Transfer RNA (tRNA) molecules are approximately 80 nucleotides in length. Their secondary structure includes four short double-helical elements and three loops (D, anti-codon, and T loops).
Source: Rfam by way of RNAcentral
GGUUCCAUAGUAUAACGGUUAGUACAUCAGACUCUGACUCUGUAAAUGCGUGUUCGAUUCACGCUGGAACCU